AAAUGGGAAUUCUAUCAAUCCGAAUGGG
RNAcentral lists this small RNA (28 nucleotides) under Bombyx mori (domestic silkworm). RNAcentral describes it as "ovarian small RNA-2435". Lineage: Eukaryota; Metazoa; Arthropoda; Insecta; Lepidoptera; Bombycidae. The record is from RNAcentral.